RNAcentral lists this ribosomal RNA (253 nucleotides) under uncultured bacterium. RNAcentral describes it as "partial 16S ribosomal RNA". It matches the Rfam family "Bacterial small subunit ribosomal RNA", at positions 524 to 776 of the family's 1533-position model. The record is from RNAcentral.
UACGGAGGAUCCAAGCGUUAUCCGGAUUUAUUGGGUUUAAAGGGUGCGUAGGCGGCUUAUUAAGUCAGGGGUGAAAGACGGUGGCUCAACCAUCGCAGUGCCCUUGAUACUGAUGAGCUUGAAUACACUAGAGGUAGGCGGAAUGUGACAAGUAGCGGUGAAAUGCAUAGAUAUGUCACAGAACACCGAUUGCAAAGGCAGCUUACUAUGGUGUUAUUGACGCUGAGGCACGAAAGCAUGGGGAUCAAACAGG